GACGAACGCUGGCGGCGCGCCUAAUGCAUGCAAGUCGAGCGACGCAUAUCGGAGGAGUAAUCCACUGAUAUGACGGAGCGGCGAACGGGUGAGUAUCACGUGAGAAACCUGCCCCGAAGACCGGGAUAGCCCGGGGAAACCCGGAUUAAUACCGGAUAUUCUCUACAGAUCGCAUGGUCUGCUGAGGAAAUGCCUUUGUGCUUCGGGAUGGUCUCGCGACCUAUCAGCUAGUUGGUGAGGUAAUGGCUCACCAAGGCAACGACGGGUAGCUGGUCUGAGAGGACGAUCAGCCACACUGGGACUGAGACACGGCCCAGACUCCUACGGGAGGCAGCAGCAGGGAAUCUUGUCCAAUGGGCGAAAGCCUGAGACAGCGACGCCGCGUGGGGGAUGAAGGCCUUCGGGUUGUAAACCCCUUUCAGGAGGGACGAAAUUGACGGUACCUCCAGAAGAAGCCCCGGCCAACUACGUG
Molecule: ribosomal RNA, 472 nt
Filed under: uncultured bacterium
Lineage: Bacteria
Description: bacterial SSU rRNA
Rfam family: Bacterial small subunit ribosomal RNA
Source: RNAcentral